GACGAACGCUGGCGGCGUGCCUAAUACAUGCAAGUAGAACGCUGAAGGAGGAGCUUGCUUCUCUGGAUGAGUUGCGAACGGGUGAGUAACGCGUAGGUAACCUGCCUGGUAGCGGGGGAUAACUAUUGGAAACGAUAGCUAAUACCGCAUAAGAGUAGAUGUUGCAUGACAUUUGCUUAAAAGGUGCAAUUGCAUCACUACCAGAUGGACCUGCGUUGUAUUAGCUAGUUGGUGGGGUAACGGCUCACCAAGGCGACGAUACAUAGCCGACCUGAGAGGGUGAUCGGCCACACUGGGACUGAGACACGGCCCAGACUCCUACGGGAGGCAGCAGUAGGGAAUCUUCGGCAAUGGACGGAAGUCUGACCGAGCAACGCCGCGUGAGUGAAGAAGGUUUUCGGAUCGUAAAGCUCUGUUGUAAGAGA
Molecule: ribosomal RNA, 425 nt
Filed under: Streptococcus mitis
Lineage: Bacteria; Bacillati; Bacillota; Bacilli; Lactobacillales; Streptococcaceae
Description: bacterial SSU rRNA
Rfam family: Bacterial small subunit ribosomal RNA
Source: RNAcentral